RNAcentral lists this ribosomal RNA (301 nucleotides) under uncultured bacterium. RNAcentral describes it as "partial 16S ribosomal RNA". It matches the Rfam family "Bacterial small subunit ribosomal RNA", at positions 509 to 808 of the family's 1533-position model. The record is from RNAcentral.
CAGCAGCCACGGGAAAACGUAGGGUGCAAGCGUUACUCGGAAUUACUGGGCGUAAAGCGUGCGUAGGUGGUGGUUUAAGUCCGUUGUGAAAGCCCUGGGCUCAACCUGGGAAUUGCAGUGGAUACUGGGUCACUAGAGUGUGGUAGAGGAUAGUGGAAUUUCCGGUGUAGCGGUGAAAUGCGUAGAGAUCGGGAGGAACAUCAGUGGCGAAGGCGGCCAUCUGGGACAACACUGACGCUGAGGCACGAAAGCGUGGGGAGCAAACAGGAUUAGAUACCCGAGUAGUCCCUGUCUCUUAACA